UUGGCCCCGAAUCAAGGCCAGCAGUUUGCUAAAGCUGUUGGUUUCAAGCGAGAGCCUAAAGAAGUGUCUUUCUAUAGUCUGUUGGCCAUUUCAGAACUUGGGAAAUCUGGAGUUCCC
This 117-nucleotide small nucleolar RNA is filed under the name Sus scrofa (pig). The record is from RNAcentral. Lineage: Eukaryota; Metazoa; Chordata; Mammalia; Artiodactyla; Suidae.